Molecule: ribosomal RNA, 495 nt
Filed under: uncultured bacterium
Lineage: Bacteria
Description: bacterial SSU rRNA
Rfam family: Bacterial small subunit ribosomal RNA
Source: RNAcentral
GAUCAUGGCUCAGGAUGAACGCUAGCGGCAGGCUUAAUACAUGCAAGUCGAGGGGCAGCACGAAUAGCAAUAUUUGGUGGCGACCGGCGCACGGGUGCGUAACACGUAUACAACCUACCUAUAACAGGGGGAUAGCCUUUCGAAAGAGAGAUUAAUACCCCGUAAUAAUUGAGUGGCAUCACUUGAUUUUGAAAGCUACGGCGGUUAUAGAUGGGUAUGCGUCUGAUUAGCUAGUUGGUGAGGUAACGGCUCACCAAGGCGACGAUCAGUAGGGGAUCUGAGAGGACUAACCCCCACACUGGUACUGAGACACGGACCAGACUCCUACGGGAGGCAGCAGUAAGGAAUAUUGGUCAAUGGAGGCAACUCUGAACCAGCCAUGCCGCGUGCAGGAUGACGGCCCUAUGGGUUGUAAACUGCUUUUGUACCAGAGAAAACCUACUCACGUGUGAGUAGCUGAUAGUAUGGUAAGAAUAAGCAUCGGCUAACUCCGUG